CCAUUCUCUUUAAUAGGAAGGAUUUUAAUAAUUACUCAGAAUACUUAACUACAUAACACUAAAAGAAGAGUACAGAACAAACCUGCAACAUUGGCAGAUCGCCCAAGGGGAAGUCUCGGAAAGCAGUAAUAUUUAAAAAGCUAACCUAAAACCAGAGAAAACAACUGAUUAGUUUAUCAUCCGGAUAGUGUAACAUGGAGCCAGGGAUAGGUAAUGCUAAGGUAAACCUCGUCUGCUCCAUCCUUGUAAUACUGUCCAGCAAGAUCCACUGGCUUGCCAAGAUUCCUCACCUUCAGGAAAGACGAUGUCCAAAUAAAGGAGCAAUUUUUGGAAGAUUAAAAUCAAGUACGAAAUCCACAUGGCUUUAGCAUAAGAGCCAUAAAUUCUAGAUGUCAAAGAACCAGAGUAUUCCAGAAUAGCUAUAUAGUACAUAGUGAGAUUACCGAUCAAAAUUGAUUAACCAAGUGGAUCAAGUACCUGACACCAAGAACCUUAAGAGGCUAUAAACCAUCUAGUUAACAUGCUUCGUCAUUAUUUUCUGUUGCUCCUUUUCUUUUCCUUUAGACAACUUACAAGUACGAGCAUGAACCCUUAUCUCACUAUGCCACCAGGUCUGCUAGCCGAAAAACUUACAGCUUUUUGGCUUCCAUUUUCUAACCUCAGAGGCAAUAGACUAGACAAACAAAUAAGAAUUAGAAAUUCUUUUUCCUUUCUGUUAGCCGAAGAAUAACAGGCUGAUGGAAAUAGACUGACUACCGGAGAUAUUCGUGUUACUUCGUCUGCACUGGUUUGUACACGAAUGCGUGAGUUAUACCGAAUACUCAGUAAAUUAUAGACCACUUCAAAUCUUUGUUUUCGAGAGGGAUAAUCAACUCCGCAAAUAUCGAUCGAAACUUGAACCCUUGUAUAGGUAUGCAAUUUCAGAAAGCACAACAAUUGAAAUAGGUAGUCCGUA
This 955-nucleotide long non-coding RNA is filed under the name Nicotiana benthamiana. RNAcentral describes it as "long non-coding RNA (NBEN_LNC042032)". The record is from RNAcentral. Lineage: Eukaryota; Viridiplantae; Streptophyta; Magnoliopsida; Solanales; Solanaceae.